Molecule: long non-coding RNA, 372 nt
Filed under: Ictidomys tridecemlineatus (thirteen-lined ground squirrel)
Lineage: Eukaryota; Metazoa; Chordata; Mammalia; Rodentia; Sciuridae
Description: lncRNA (ENSSTOG00000029475.1)
Source: RNAcentral
UUCGGCGGACACAACAUCUUUGAUUGUAUGUGGUGCUGAGAAUCAAACCCGGGCCGCACGCAUGCCAGGCGAGCGCGCUACCGCUUGAGCCACAUCCCCAGCCCUUAUGAAAAAUCUGUAAACCAAUGGGAGCACCGAAUGAGUAAAGGAAUUUUGAUCUCUAACACAUGUCUAACUGCUGAGUUCUGAAAGAGGGAAGAAAGCUGGUAGCAUCUGAAAGGAGAGAGAGGUUCUGUGGGUAGGAAGGCUCAGGACAGCUCCACAGGCAGGAGGAGCAGUGCUGCAUCCCGUUCAAGGUUAUAUCCAAGGUCAAUAUAUAACAUAACAGAAUGUUUGGGUUUGGAGGAAAUCAGGAGUCUCUUGGUUAUUCAC